Molecule: ribosomal RNA, 484 nt
Filed under: uncultured bacterium
Lineage: Bacteria
Description: bacterial SSU rRNA
Rfam family: Bacterial small subunit ribosomal RNA
Source: RNAcentral
AUUGAACGCUGGCGGAAUGCUUUACACAUGCAAGUCGAACGGCAGCACGGACUUCGGUCUGGUGGCGAGUGGCGAACGGGUGAGUAAUAUAUCGGAACGUGCCCAGUCGUGGGGGAUAACGUAGUGAAAAUUACGCUAAUACCGCAUACGAUCUGAGGAUGAAAGCGGGGGACCGUAAGGCCUCGCGCGAUCGGAGCGGCCGAUGUCAGAUUAGGUAGUUGGUGGGGUAAAGGCUCACCAAGCCGACGAUCUGUAGCUGGUCUGAGAGGACGACCAGCCACACUGGGACUGAGACACGGCCCAGACUCCUACGGGAGGCAGCAGUGGGGAAUUUUGGACAAUGGGCGCAAGCCUGAUCCAGCAAUGCCGCGUGCAGGAAGAAGGCCUUCGGGUUGUAAACUGCUUUUGUACGGAACGAAAAGGCUCUGGUUAAUACCUGGGGCUCAUGACGGUACCGUAAGAAUAAGCACCGGCUAACUACGUG